This is a long non-coding RNA of Orbicella faveolata, 1371 nucleotides long. The record is from RefSeq and is a predicted model, not a curated record. NCBI's taxonomy places the organism in Eukaryota, Metazoa, Cnidaria, Anthozoa, Scleractinia, Merulinidae.
AACUUCCACGCUUAUACCAAUCGUGCUAGUUAUUUAUGUGUUCAUUGUACUCUAGAUCAAUCGAAACCAAGGCACUGGAGGUAACGAGGAGAAGAAAUGCUAUGAAGACAAGAAAAUAUUUAAUGCUCAAAAAGAAAUGAGCGAAUGUGACCAAGUAGGUACCUUACAUUAACCCCAUUCUGAUCAGAGAUGUUCAGGGCUUCAAGAACAUGAGCGGGGUGAUGGAGUGGCGACUAAAAGGUCUGAGGCCUUUGACUCCACCAGUAUGUAACUUGAGGGAUGGGGAAUGUUGUAUAAUGUAUCUAGUGUAUAUGCAAUCAAAUAUCUAAGGCUUAAAAGAAAACAACCUUUUAAUUUCAACCUUUCAGUUAGUAGAAGAAUUGAUGGUGGGUUUGAUAAAAGAAGGGAGGAAGGAAUAGGGGGAGAACAGACGGACGGACAAAUGAUUGAAUGGAUUGAAUGAACGAAAAAAACGAGUGGGCGAGUGAGUGAAUAAAAAUAGCAAUAAGGAUUAAAAUAUUUAACUUUUGAUGCAUAACGAGAACCUUCAGGAUGAAAAUCGAGCCUUGCCUAUUCCUGGCGGUUUCCAAGUUAACAAAGAAAUCGCCAUGUCCUCUGGACAGCUUUCUCAGGAAAAAGAUGAUACUCAGGAUGGGAUCGAUCAAGAUCAACCACGGCUAGAGCAAACUUUGCUGAUGAUGGAAUCGACUCCGUCACGAGAUAACAGAGAUAUCACCCUUGAUAUAACCCUUUUCGCUGAGAAUCUUGCUAAAGUAAGUAAUUGUUUAUUUCCAUGGCAGCUUUAGCUCUUAAAACUACAUUUGCGAAGAUUAUAACAAAGAAUUACACAACAAAUUCAUUGGUCAAUACGCAAAUCAUUAUUUGCAUUGGUGUCUACAAACGUACAUGUACUUAUGUAUGGUAAUGAAAGUUAAAUGAUGUGUAAGGUAUCCACGAAUGUUUAUUUCAUUGGUGGUCACGUGCCAAAUAUGAUGAGAUCAGUUAGGUCAACAUAGCCAAACUGGCAGUAAAAAUCAAAAGUAUUAGAUAUAUUCUAAAAAGUAUUACGAGUAUGAUGAAGUAUUAAAAAUGCUAAAGCUAAAGCAGAAGUGGAAAAAAUGUAAAAAAACAAACAGUAAAACCAAAAUCACAACUGAGAAAAAAACAAUUGUAUAGCAAGCGCAACUUCAACACAAUACUACAAGUGUUUUCCAAUCAAUAUAAGAAAAACUCACCAAAAGCUCACGCUACAUUAGGUUUGAAAUAAGCGCCACAUUUUCUAUCCUUCCCUCCCUACCCAAAAUAUGAAUAACGGAAUAAUUUACAAACGCUUAGUUUACUACCAUUACUUGCUACGUUACGUUCUUUUUU